AACAUCGCGCACCUGCGGGAACCUGCGGAAGGAUCAUUACCGAAGUUACUCUUCAUACCCUUAUGUGAACCCUACCCCUCGCCGCGCGGUUGCCUCGGCGGGAGGUCGCGGAGCCCCGGCCCCGCGGCCCCCGCCGGCCGCGCCCAACUCUUCUUCUGCAAAGCGGACUGCAAGUUCUGAUUACAUCUUGAAAAACAAGUCAAAACUUUCAACAACGGAUCUCAGAUCGGAAGAGCACAC
RNAcentral lists this unclassified non-coding RNA (240 nucleotides) under soil metagenome. RNAcentral's name for it is "partial contains 5.8S ribosomal RNA, internal transcribed spacer 2, and large subunit ribosomal RNA". The record is from RNAcentral.